AUUGAACGCUGGCGGCAGGCCUAACACAUGCAAGUCGAACGAGUGGCGGACGGGUGAGUAAUGUCUGGGAAACUGCCUGAUGGAGGGGGAUAACUACUGGAAACGGUAGCUAAUACCGCAUCCCAUCGGAUGUGCCCAGAUGGGAUUAGCUUGUUGGUGGGGUAACGGCUCAACAAGGCGACGAUCCCUAGCUGGUCUGAGAGGAUGACCAGCCACGCUGGGACUGAGACACGGUCCAGACUCCGACGGGAGGCAGCAGUGGGGAAUAGUGCACAAUGGGUGCAAGCCUGAUGAAGCCAUGCCGCGUGUAUGAAGAAGGCCUUCGGGUUGUAAAGUACUUUCAGCGGGGAGGAGUUCACCUCAGAAGAAGCACCGGCUAACUCCGUGCCAGCAGCCGCGGUAAUAC
RNAcentral lists this ribosomal RNA (406 nucleotides) under uncultured bacterium. Its description in RNAcentral is "partial 16S ribosomal RNA". It matches the Rfam family "Bacterial small subunit ribosomal RNA", at positions 30 to 526 of the family's 1533-position model. The record is from RNAcentral.